This is a long non-coding RNA of Pundamilia nyererei, 112 nucleotides long. RefSeq lists it as uncharacterized. Lineage: Eukaryota; Metazoa; Chordata; Actinopteri; Cichliformes; Cichlidae. The record is from RefSeq and is a predicted model, not a curated record. The transcript is spliced from 3 exons.
AGAAGAAGCAGACAAAGAAGAAGAAGAAGAAGGAUUCUAGCUCUUCUGAUGAUAGCUCCUCUUCUUCCUCCGAUAGUGAUGAUGACAAGAAAAAGAAGAAGAAGAAGAAGGA